RNAcentral lists this ribosomal RNA (484 nucleotides) under uncultured bacterium. RNAcentral's name for it is "partial 16S ribosomal RNA". It matches the Rfam family "Bacterial small subunit ribosomal RNA", at positions 30 to 507 of the family's 1533-position model. The record is from RNAcentral.
AUUGAACGCUGGCGGCGUGCCUAAUACAUGCAAGUCGAGCGGACGAAGGGGGCUCGUGCUUCUAUUCAGUUACGGACGGGCGGGUAAGUCCCACGUAGCUACCCUGCCUAUGAGGAUGACGUCAGUAAAGGGGCGCGAAUAUCGUACAGGAUCUUAUUUAGAAAGGGGGGGAUCAACGGUGAUCGCGGGACUUGAUGUGACUAGGUCGGAUUAGCUAGUUGGUGUGGUAAGGGCCUACCAAGGCGACGAUCCGUAACUGGUCUGAGAGGAUGAUCAGUCACACUGGAACUGAGACACGGUCCAGACUCCUACGGGAGGCAGCAGUGGGGAAUAUUGGACAAUGGGCGAAAGCCUGAUCCAGCCAUGCCGCGUGUGUGAAGAAGGUCUUCGGAUUGUAAAGCACUUUAAGUUGGGAGGAAGGGCAGUAAGUUAAUCCCUUGCUGUUUUGACGUUACCAACAGAAUAAGCACCGGCUAACUUCGUG